GCGGACAUCGCCGCCGUCGACGCCUCCGCGGCCGUCGACGCCUCCUCCGUGGCCGCUACUGCCGCCGUUGCGCACGGACAUCUCCGCCCUCGACGCCCCGCGGCCCUCGACGCCCCCGCGGCCCUCUCCGCGACCUCCGUGGCCGCUGCUGCCGUCGCUGCGCUCUCCCUUGCCGACCCCGGGCGGCGGCGAGAGAGAGAGGGGGGCUAAGAUAGAGAGGAGAAGGGAAGAGAGAGAGAGAGUAUGGAGAGGAGGAAAGAGAUAGAAACAGGGAGCCAGCUGGAUGAGAGAAAAGAGAGAGGAUUAGAGAGAGAGAGAGAGAGGGGGG
This 328-nucleotide long non-coding RNA is filed under the name Ananas comosus (pineapple). RNAcentral's name for it is "long non-coding RNA (ACOM_LNC038110)". The record is from RNAcentral. Lineage: Eukaryota; Viridiplantae; Streptophyta; Magnoliopsida; Poales; Bromeliaceae.